GACGGACGCUGGCGGCGUGCCUAAUACAUGCAAGUAGAACGCUGAAGGAGGAGCUUGCUUCUCUGGAUGAGUUGCGAACGGGUGAGUAACGCGUAGGUAACCUGCCUGGUAGCGGGGGAUAACUAUUGGAAACGAUAGCUAAUACCGCAUAAGAGUAGAUGUUGCAUGACAUUUACUUAAAAGGUGCAAUUGCAUCACUACCAGAUGGACCUGCGUUGUAUUAGCUAGUUGGUGAGGUAACGGCUCACCAAGGCAACGAUACAUAGCCGACCUGAGAGGGUGAUCGGCCACACUGGGACUGAGACACGGCCCAGACUCCUACGGGAGGCAGCAGUAGGGAAUCUUCGGCAAUGGACGGAAGUCUGACCGAGCAACGCCGCGUGAGUGAAGAAGGUUUUCGGAUCGUAAAGCUCUGUUGUAAGAGAAGAACGAGUGUGAGAGUGGAAAGUUCACACUGUGACGGUAGCUUACCAGAAAGAGACGGCUAACUACGUG
Molecule: ribosomal RNA, 495 nt
Filed under: uncultured bacterium
Lineage: Bacteria
Description: partial 16S ribosomal RNA
Rfam family: Bacterial small subunit ribosomal RNA
Source: RNAcentral